Molecule: ribosomal RNA, 238 nt
Filed under: uncultured bacterium
Lineage: Bacteria
Description: partial 16S ribosomal RNA
Rfam family: Bacterial small subunit ribosomal RNA
Source: RNAcentral
CGGGUGAGUACUACUUGGGCAAUCUGCCCUCAAGAGGGAGACAACCUGCCGAAAGGCGGGCUAAUAUCCCGUAAGACCACAGGAUGACAUCGUCCAGAGGUCAAAGCUCCGCAAGGGGCGCUAGAGGAGGGGCCCGAGGCCUAUCGUGGUAGUUGGUGGGGUAACGGCCCACCAAGCCUUUGACGGGUAGCCGGCCUGAAAGGGUGAUCGGCCACACUGGCACUGAGACACGGGCCAG